AAUCAUUAGCCUCUUAAUUAGAGGCUGGAAUGAAUGGUUUAACAUUUCCUCAACUUUUUUAAAAAUUAUAAAAAAAUUUAUAUCAAAUAUAAAAAUAUAUUUAUAUACAAACUAGACGACAAGA
RNAcentral lists this ribosomal RNA (124 nucleotides) under Tetragnatha sp. RNAcentral's name for it is "partial large subunit ribosomal RNA". Lineage: Eukaryota; Metazoa; Arthropoda; Arachnida; Araneae; Tetragnathidae. The record is from RNAcentral.